UCCAUUCUUCUUCCAAGCCCAUUUACUGGCAAAAGAGAGCACAAGUAGGAACAGAAUAUGGAAAAGAUCACUUCUGAAUUUGCACUGAUUUCAGAUAAUUGGUAAACAAGAGGAAAAUGAAAUGUGACCAUUCAAAUAACAGGCAUCACAGCUUCAUCUUCACCAAUUUC
Long non-coding RNA from Telopea speciosissima, 170 nucleotides. RefSeq lists it as uncharacterized. Lineage: Eukaryota; Viridiplantae; Streptophyta; Magnoliopsida; Proteales; Proteaceae. The record is from RefSeq and is a predicted model, not a curated record. The transcript has 4 exons.